CCGUAGUUUCAGUAUAAACAAGGAACCCGACUGGUUGGGCGGAUUUUCUUUUUAAUCCUUCUUCCCGCGCGCUCUCGCUCGCUGUCCUUUGGUCGCAUUUGUGGGCGCGCGGCAAACAUCCGGAGGCCGAGGAUUCUGGGGUCCGUGUGCGGGAAAGCAUGCCUCAGACUCCUCCCUUUUCAGCAAUGUUUGACAGCAGUGGUUACAACCGAAACCUCUAUCAGUCUGCAGAGGACAGCUGUGGAGGGUUGUAUUACCAUGACAACAACCUCCUCUCCGGAUCUCUGGAAGCACUCAUCCAGCACUUAGUACCUAAUGUGGAUUACUAUCCGGAUAGAACGUACAUCUUCACCUUCCUACUCAGUUCUCGGUUAUUUAUGCAUCCCUAUGAGCUAAUGGCCAAAGUUUGCCACUUGUGUGUCGAGCACCAGAGACUAAGUGAUCCUAGCAGUGAUAAGAACCUGAUAAGAAAAAUUGCACCUAAAAUCCUUCAACUCCUGACAGAAUGGACGGAAACAUUUCCAUAUGAUUUUCGGGAUGAAAGAAUGAUGAGGAACUUAAAAGAUCUGGCUCACCGAAUAGCCAGCGGUGAAGAGACAUACCGGAAGAAUGUCCAGCAGAUGAUUCAGUGUCUGAUCCGCAAACUUGCUACGCUCAGCCAGUACGAGGAAGUCCUGGCAAAAAUCAGCGCCACGUCCACAGAUCGGCUCACAGUUCUCAAGAACAAGCCACAGUCUAUACAAAGGGACAUCAUUACAGUCUGCAGUGACCCUUACACGUUGGCCCAGCAGCUGACUCACAUAGAGCUGGAGAGACUCAAUUACAUUGGACCAGAAGAAUUUGUUCAAGCAUUUGUUCAGAAGGACCCUUUGGACAAUGACAAGAAUUGCUACGGUGAACGGAAGAAGACGCGCAACUUAGAAGCUUACGUGGAAUGGUUUAAUCGCCUCAGCUACUUGGUCGCUACAGAAAUCUGCAUGCCUGUAAAAAAGAAGCAUCGAGCAAGAAUGAUUGAGUAUUUUAUUGAUGUGGCUCGGGAGUGUUUUAACAUUGGCAACUUUAAUUCCUUGAUGGCAAUAAUCUCUGGAAUGAAUAUGAGUCCUGUCUCUCGACUAAAGAAAACUUGGGCCAAAGUGAAGACUGCGAAGUUUGACAUUCUUGAGCAUCAGAUGGACCCUUCAAGCAAUUUCUAUAAUUAUCGAACAGCUCUUCGUGGGGCAGCACAAAGGUCUUUAACUGCUCAUAGUAGCAGAGAGAAAAUUGUGAUACCAUUCUUCAGUCUCUUAAUCAAAGAUAUUUAUUUCCUCAAUGAGGGCUGUGCCAACCGCCUUCCAAAUGGGCACGUCAAUUUUGAGAAAUUUUGGGAACUGGCCAAACAAGUUAGCGAAUUCAUGACAUGGAAACAGGUAGAAUGUCCAUUUGAGAGGGACCGGAAGAUCUUGCAGUAUCUGCUCACAGUGCCAGUCUUCAGCGAAGAUGGUGAGUCAGCCAUUCGGAUGGCUGCCACUAGCAUCCCCAAGCCCUGGGAUUAGGAAACUGGUCUAUAAAUGGUUGGUGCCUGGUUCCUCAUAUAGUUUGAAGACUGCCCUCUGACCUCUUCCAUCUUAAGACUUUUCUAAUGCAUAGAAAACCUUAUGAUUUAUCCACAAAAUAUUUGGCUUGUGCACCUAUGUAAUAUUCACCCAUUAACUGGGUUUAAAGAUUCUUUAUAAUAUAUCUGCAGAGCUUUGGGCACAAAUGGGAAGUUAUUGAAGGUUUUUUUUUUUUUUCCUUGUGGGAGCUUGUUUCAAUAUAGAAAAAGAUGUUUCAUGGUAUGUUGAUAUUCCAAGGUAAUUUGAUGAAAAAAAAACCAUUUAUUGCUAUCCCUUGUUUAAAAAGUAGUAGAAAGUCCUGACCUGUUAUAUAUUGGAGAAUUUGAGGCAGAAAAAGUGAUUGAAUAUGUACAGAAAAAUUCACUGGGAGAGAGAGUUUGUAAAAGGUUUGGUGAUUUAUCCCAUUUUUGUUGUAUUCUCAUAUUAUUGGAAUCAAUAGCACCUAACAAUUCUCAUGGUAAAUUGAUAGUGUUCAUGAUAAUGACUGAAGAACAUUUUGAAUUAUCAGUGAAAGACUAAGUAUAAUGGACCUUAAAUGUGGAUAUAUGUUAAAUUGUUUUAAUUAUUGGAAAAUUAGAAAUGUAUGCUUGUUAAUUUGAUCCUAAUGCCCAUGACUUCUGUUUCUUGAACUGAACAAAUUGAAGACCUCAUCACAGUUCCCAAUUUGAUUCUCCAUUUACCAGUGAAUUUUACUCCUUGAUAUUAGUGAUACCUACCUAUUCUAAAGGCAGCUUGACCAUUUUUGUCCCACAACUAGGUUUAAUGUCACGCUUUUUAUUCUUUGGAUGAAAAUUCUUUCUGAUUGGAAAAGAAAGAAAAAAAUAUUGAAAGGAUGGACAAUUGGUCUAUAAAACCUGGCUUUUUACCUAUGAAGAGUUUUUAGAAACUGAGGCUACCAGGAAAAGAUCCCCCUACUUCUUUGUAAAGAACAUUAAUCUGAGUAUAUGAUAGCAUCAUGUGGCUUGCAGUUGUAAGGUUUUUUGUUUUUUUUUUGGCCUCAUAAAUUGUCUCAGCAAAUUAAAGUUGCUUUUUUUUGCCCAGAAGCCCUUGGGUUUUUGUUGAAAUGGCCAGUCAGAGGCAAAAUGAUAUUCCGUGUUCUUAAUGAAACUAUGAAGCUUCUCUGCCAUGAUUUGAUAUAAAGUGUAUGUUUUGCUGUAGAGUUUCGGUCAAGUUGAAGAAGGGGGUGGGUGUUGGUGGAUAAUAUUGGAAGAAGGCUUUAAUGUUAACACACUCUUCUUUUUGGUUGAUUAUAGCUCUCUACUUCUCUCUUAUGGAGAGUGAAGGACCUGAAAAUCAUAUAGAGAAAGACAGAUGGAAGUCUUUGAGGUCGAGCCUCUUAGGCAGAGUUUAACAAGUGGGAUACUGACUGCUGCUGCCGCUGCUUCAUGUGGUUCACUGGCAACUAGUACUAGGAAAACUCCUGAGGACUCCACCAGCAUCAGUGUGCUCCAGUCAGCAAGGAAAGCCAGCUCACUCAAGAGCAGAUGGGGAACUUAUUUUCUGCAACUGACAGAUUGACCAGAUUUUGUGAGACUGAAAUGUUCACUGAAGAUGCUCGAGAGAGAAUCCUCUGAAGAUCCCAGCUCUGCACAUGAUUCAUCUCCUGGAAUUUCCAUGUGAAUCACAGCUCUGCACCUGGAUGGAGCCUUCUUUUGUGUGUGUUUUUUUAUUUGGUUGAACAUUUGCUGCUAAUGGGACUUGCCCAGCCAAGUGCUGGCACUUAGGAAGCCCAUGUUUCUUUGUUAACUUAAAUGAAAAAGGGAGAGGAGGGAGGGGGAUAACCCCCUUCAUUUAGAUCCCCAAACUCAGCUCCAUCAGUAUUUCUAGAGAGAGGUAAGACUGGUUGAAUGCUGACAGUGGAGUUUGUUUCCCUUUAGUGUGUGCUGUGUUGUGAAUUCCUCUCCUCCCUCUUCCUACAAGGUUUUGAGUUGGCUGCUGGUUAGCAAACUCAUUUUUACCCACGUAAGUUAUUUAAUAUAAUAAUGAAGCUCAACACUGUGGUAGGAAAAUAGCCACUAGGGAAAAAAAAAAGCAGAGUUUGUUGUUGGACUGCUUAAUGUUCUAGAAGGACUUUUUUUUUGUUUUCUUUGCCCCUCUGAGCUGUUUACAACUGACCACUGUGUGCUAUGGAUGUAUUUUUCAGUUUUUGUUAGUUACUUUUCCAUGACACCGAUUUUUUUUUCUUGUAAAUUUAAAUGAUCUGACAUAAGGGUCUUGGAAAAAUUCCAUGGCAUAAUUACAUUUAAAUUUUCUUUAACAGGCUAUUAUUUUUCAUUACUUUUGGGGUCUGUUGGUGACUAAACAUGUAAACAAAGAAUAAAUUGGAAAAGUGACUCCCCUCCCAGCAGUGAACAAAACAAAUGAAAAACAUCUUGCUGUUAACUCAGUGGUUGAUCUAAUUGUGAAAUAGUUCACCUUGUUAAACAUCUAAGUAAGUCUGUAGUUGCUCUGCAAACUUAGCCAUUAUAUUUAUUUACUCUAGGAAAAACUGUAGAGUAGUAAUCUGUGCUAAUGAAAAAGAAAAAAAAAAAGAACAACAAAACAGCUUAUUAGAGUUGUAUUUGAAAACUUCAUGACAUGGUUUAAAAAAAAAGAGCAUGUGUGCGUGCUGCACGUCAUCUGAGCAGACCUAAAAUGUCUCCAAGUUGUCCCUUUACAAUCAUCAAUAUAUUUUACACUCUGCUGCCAA
Choloepus didactylus (southern two-toed sloth) is the source of this 4281-nucleotide RNA transcript. It is a transcript of the gene named RasGEF domain family member 1B, with no coding region annotated. NCBI's taxonomy places the organism in Eukaryota, Metazoa, Chordata, Mammalia, Pilosa, Megalonychidae. The transcript has 13 exons. The record is from RefSeq and is a predicted model, not a curated record.